This is a long non-coding RNA of Canis lupus familiaris (dog), 1284 nucleotides long. RefSeq lists it as uncharacterized. The transcript has 2 exons. NCBI's taxonomy places the organism in Eukaryota, Metazoa, Chordata, Mammalia, Carnivora, Canidae. The record is from RefSeq and is a predicted model, not a curated record.
CCAGAGUGAGGCCACAGCUCCAGUGCCCCUGCCCACAGCGCCUCUGAAGGCUGUUGUCCCCAGGGCCAGGUCCAGCACAGGGUGGGUGGACAGCAUCUGCAGAAGAGAGUGAAUGGGCCUGACGAGGCCGGUGGACACUCCUGAGCAUACAUCCCCCAGCCCAGAUGCCCACGCAGGACCUGGCCUGGCCUCAGGGACCCCCACUCCAACCCCACCCCCUCAGUUCCCGGCUUGCCCCCAGAGGCCCGGCCCCACCACACUCUGACAGCCAAGCCUGCCGCCUGCGCCUGCUGCAUCUGCUGCCCACCUGGCGGCUCUCCGCUCCGGGCCCCGCUGACCUUGGGCAUGAGGACAGCGGCCACUGAGGCCUUUGCAUUGGGGCUCAUCUUCCCUCCACAGCCCCACAACCCAACUGAGAGGCCGGCUCCUGUGUGGACUCACGGCAGCGCCGACAGUAAGGCUUUCAUUUCAUUGUGUGGGCUUCAGGCUUUGGUCACCAACACAAGCAGACGUGAUGGAUGUGUUAACAGCACAGAUGUAGAAAUAAAGCCCAAUGUUUUCUGGAGAAUGAGUGAGUGAGCUCAUGGUCAUUUGUGCAACCAAACGGAUUCUUCUGACUGCUGAGCCUUCAGGCUUCCAGAGCACAUUCAAAUUCAUGUGGUGGCACCAGUAACCCUGAAUUACUCUUACUAGCAAAGCUGUUGAUAGCCACCAACUCUUCAUAGGUAAAAAAAUCAAUUGGUGAAAAACUGUUGUAUUCCAACAACUUCAAGUAUAUUUAUUUCUCUCAACUUUGGGGGGAAAAUUGCCAACAGCUUAACACAAAUCUAAGUAUACAAUGUCUUAGUUUUACACAAAGUGUAUUGACAUCAAAAAGAUAAAAUGAGGGAGAUAGCACAAAAAUGUAGAGCUUUAGUAUGUGUUCAAAGCUGUUAUCAGCUUGAAACAGGCUGUUCUAGACAUAGAUUAUUUCAUGUAAGUCUAAUACUGACCAAAAAGCAAAAGCCUUUAAUACGUACACAAAAGAAAAAGAAAGAAAUGGAAGCACACACUACAGAAAAUCAUCAAAUCACAGAGGAGGAAAGAAAGGAAAGGAACAGAGGAAUUGCCAAACAGACAGAAAAUAAUUUACUAAAUGGCAAAAUGAAGCCCAUACUUAUCAGUAAUUACUUUAAAUGUAAAUGGACUAAAAUCUACGAUCAAAAGACACAGGUGGCUGAAUGGAUAGGGAAAAAAAAACUUAACAAUGCCCAACUCCAUGCAGCCUAUAAGAGACUCCAUUCA